Molecule: ribosomal RNA, 1448 nt
Filed under: uncultured organism
Description: SSU rRNA
Rfam family: Bacterial small subunit ribosomal RNA
Source: RNAcentral
CGAACGCUGGCGGCGUGCCUAAUACAUGCAAGUAGAACGCUGAAGAGAGGAGCUUGCUCUUCUUGGAUGAGUUGCGAACGGGUGAGUAACGCGUAGGUAACCUGCCUUGUAGCGGGGGAUAACUAUUGGAAACGAUAGCUAAUACCGCAUAACAAUGGAUGACACAUGUCAUUUAUUUGAAAGGGGCAAUUGCUCCACUACAAGAUGGACCUGCGUUGUAUUAGCUAGUAGGUGAGGUAACGGCUCACCUAGGCGACGAUACAUAGCCGACCUGAGAGGGUGAUCGGCCACACUGGGACUGAGACACGGCCCAGACUCCUACGGGAGGCAGCAGUAGGGAAUCUUCGGCAAUGGGGGCAACCCUGACCGAGCAACGCCGCGUGAGUGAAGAAGGUUUUCGGAUCGUAAAGCUCUGUUGUAAGUCAAGAACGAGUGUGAGAGUGGAAAGUUCACACUGUGACGGUAGCUUACCAGAAAGGGACGGCUAACUACGUGCCAGCAGCCGCGGUAAUACGUAGGUCCCGAGCGUUGUCCGGAUUUAUUGGGCGUAAAGCGAGCGCAGGCGGUUUGAUAAGUCUGAAGUUAAAGGCUGUGGCUCAACCAUAGUUCGCUUUGGAAACUGUCAAACUUGAGUGCAGAAGGGGAGAGUGGAAUUCCAUGUGUAGCGGUGAAAUGCGUAGAUAUAUGGAGGAACACCGGUGGCGAAAGCGGCUCUCUGGUCUGUAACUGACGCUGAGGCUCGAAAGCGUGGGGAGCGAACAGGAUUAGAUACCCUGGUAGUCCACGCCGUAAACGAUGAGUGCUAGGUGUUGGAUCCUUUCCGGGAUUCAGUGCCGCAGCUAACGCAUUAAGCACUCCGCCUGGGGAGUACGACCGCAAGGUUGAAACUCAAAGGAAUUGACGGGGGCCCGCACAAGCGGUGGAGCAUGUGGUUUAAUUCGAAGCAACGCGAAGAACCUUACCAGGUCUUGACAUCCCGAUGCUAUUUCUAGAGAUAGAAAGUUACUUCGGUACAUCGGUGACAGGUGGUGCAUGGUUGUCGUCAGCUCGUGUCGUGAGAUGUUGGGUUAAGUCCCGCAACGAGCGCAACCCCUAUUGUUAGUUGCCAUCAUUCAGUUGGGCACUCUAGCGAGACUGCCGGUAAUAAACCGGAGGAAGGUGGGGAUGACGUCAAAUCAUCAUGCCCCUUAUGACCUGGGCUACACACGUGCUACAAUGGUUGGUACAACGAGUUGCGAGUCGGUGACGGCAAGCUAAUCUCUUAAAGCCAAUCUCAGUUCGGAUUGUAGGCUGCAACUCGCCUACAUGAAGUCGGAAUCGCUAGUAAUCGCGGAUCAGCACGCCGCGGUGAAUACGUUCCCGGGCCUUGUACACACCGCCCGUCACACCACGAGAGUUUGUAACACCCGAAGUCGGUGAGGUAACCUUUUGGAGCCAGCCGCCUAAGG